AGUAAGUAUAAGCAGGUAGUGAGUUAUCUCAAUUGAUUGUGCAUCGUCAGUUACAGAUUAAACUCCUUGUUUGAUUCUUCCCCUCUUCUUGCUACUGUACUUGACUAAUCUUAA
RNAcentral lists this non-coding RNA (114 nucleotides) under Microcebus murinus (gray mouse lemur). The record is from RNAcentral. Lineage: Eukaryota; Metazoa; Chordata; Mammalia; Primates; Cheirogaleidae.